RNAcentral lists this ribosomal RNA (515 nucleotides) under uncultured bacterium. RNAcentral's name for it is "partial 16S ribosomal RNA". It matches the Rfam family "Bacterial small subunit ribosomal RNA", at positions 28 to 523 of the family's 1533-position model. The record is from RNAcentral.
GACGAACGCUGGCGGCGUGCCUAAUACAUGCAAGUCGAGCGAAUGGAUUAAGAGCUUGCUCUUAUGAAGUUAGCGGCGGACGGGUGAGUAACACGUGGGUAACCUGCCCAUAAGACUGGGAUAACUCCGGGAAACCGGGGCUAAUACCGGAUAACAUCUUGAACCGCAUGGUUCGAAAUUGAAAGGCGGCUUCGGCUGUCACUUAUGGAUGGACCCGCGUCGCAUUAGCUAGUGGGUGAGGUAACGGCCCACAAAGGCAACGAUGCGUAGCCGACCCGAGAGGGCGAUCGGCCACACUGGGACUGAGACACGGCCCAGACUCCUACGGGAGGCAGCAGUAGGGAAUCUUCCGCAAUGGACGAAAGUCUGACGGAGCAACGCCGCGUGAGUGAUGAAGGCUUUCGGGUCGUAAAACUCUGUUGUUAGGGAAGAACAAGUGCUAGUUGAAUAAGCUGGCACCUUGACGGUACCUAACCAGAAAGCCACGGCUAACUACGUGCCAGCCGCCGCGGUAA